AUUACAAGAGCACCUCCUCCCCCAACCCCAGGAGGCCCCGCUCCCCAGGCCUCGGCCGGCGCGGACCCCUGGUUGCCCCGGGGUCGAGAGCAGCCGGGGAGAGCUGAGUUCAGAGCCCAGAGUUGGACAUCAGGCCACACGCUGAGAGGGUAGUAAAUGAAAGGGAGUCCGGUUUAGUCGCGGGCAGGGCAUCUCCUCUUCUGCUUGUCUAAAAGUCGCUGGGUGCAGGGGAAGCAAUACUAAGCGGGAAUUUCUUUUUAGUGGCAUCUACACAAUUUGCCUUUCCUGGUUUUUGUUUUGUUUUGUUUUGUUUCCUAAGGAGGGGGAGGCUCUGUAGAGGAAGCUUCGGCCCUGGGUGCCCCUGGGUUGGGAGCAGUCGGGGAGCGCUGAGCCAGGGCGCACGCCCUGUCGGCGCUGCGGGUGUGGGGCGCAGGAGUCCUUCUGGCCGGCCCCUCCGCCCCCCGGGGAGGCUGGAGCUCUCCAAGGCCGGGGAGCCUCCCGAAGCGCGCUGCCCCCUCUGUUCUCCGCGUGCUUUCACUAGGGCCCCAUGCUGCUUAGUGGCCGAUUUGCAGGGAAUCUGGGCACAAUCUUAAUAACACCAGGGCCAAAAAUAACAACGUUCCUGGGAACCGAGCAGCUGGAGCGCACCCCAUGGACGCUGGGCCAUCUCCCCGGGGACUAGUGCCUGACAGAGCUGACAGAGUUCUAGGCCACAUGUGGGCUAGAAGGAACCGCCAUGUCUACCACAGCACAGUCCUUAAGCAGGAGCCUUUUGAAGCACUUGGACUCAAAACAAUGGCUGUUUGUUGUUGUUGUUGUUGUUGUUUGUUUGUUUUGAGGGAGCCAGAAAGCUAAAAAAUGUAAAAGAAGCAGGUCACAUUAGACAUGAUUUCAGACAGCCUCCCCGAAGGACAGAUGAUCUCACUUGGCAACACAUACUGGGCCAGGCUCACUCAUGAGGGGGCAGCGUGGCAUGCACCCCACUCAGGGGCAAGAAUGAAGCUUAAAUAUUAGCUGACUCAGAACAUAGCAAGUGCUCAGUAAUGGCUUCUGGAACGAACCCGUGGUUGUCACCAGCAGGAGUGACGAAAGCUAGAAGCCGUUUCACCAUCCAAGGAAGAGGAGGAACAAUAUUUUUCUCUUUGGAGUUCCCACACUCAGAAGAGAGAACACCAGCAUAUGAACACAGAGUGUCACAUGAUGUAGGAAACAUCCUGUAGGUAGAGAGUAUAAUUCCAAAGCUUAGGAUCCUGCUAGUUCCUUGUGCAGUGCUUCCGGUGGGCAACAUGGUGCCUCCCCAGUCCCUCAGGCUUGAGGCGGGCCAGCACAGCUUCUCUGGGAGCCAGGUCAUUUCAGAAUUUAACCCCAGAACUAGGUCACCCCAGGCAACACAAGGCUCCUCUCCCUUGGAUACAGGAAGCGGAGGAAAAGGCCAGGCAUGCUCAGGGGCAAACCAACACCCAGGUGAAAGGGAGCUGGGCUGGUUUCGGGGAGCAGCCUGGUUUCAGGGAGCCGGACUCACGAUGUGCUUGAGACCCUCAAAUUCACCCCUGGAAGCAGCUGCCCCCGUGACAAGGAACUAAGGACAGGCAUGUCAUGGACUGUGAAUUGGAGUGACAUUUGUCCCUCCCUUCACCAACAGACUGCCCCAAGAGCUUCCCAAGUUAUCUGCCAUAGAAUACCUUGUUUCCCUCGAGUCUCUGAAAGGGGGCCGCAAAAGCUGUCCCCACGCUGGAAAUGCAGGGCCAGGCUUUUAAAGUUUUGCUCCCGGAUUAUGAGAACACCUAGAAAAUUCAGUGCUCCUCUCCACUCCCCCAAACCCCUUCACAAGCCCCCACCCUUUGUUUAACAAACAUAUAUAUAGUGCUUUCCUGGUACCAGAUACUACUUUAAGCACUUGACAAAAUAUUUAGUCAUACAUAAAACCCUUAUAAUUACACUGUAAUUCACUCUCGUCAGAUCCAGUCAUUGUGAAGAAACGGAGGCACGGGGAGAUUAAGAGAGCUACUUAAGAAGACACGGUGCCAGGUUUCUACCCAAGCCAUUUGGAUCUAGGGUCUGGAGGCCAUGUGAGCCAUUUUGCAUUAGAUUAACGCUUUAAUUCAGUUCACAGUUAGACAAUAUACGUUCCCCAUCUAUAUCUAUACCCAUCUGGAAGGCAACAAAAAGAUAAUAAACUGAUAGUGUCAUGUGCCCAUGACCCAGCUAACAAAGAGGCUCUGGGUUCCAAUGCCCCAGUCUUUCAUGGGAUUCCAUCGACCUCAUGCCCUGCUCCCCUCCCCAACAGAGAUGGAAACAUUAUCCUGAAUUUUGUGUUUAUCAUCCCUUGUUUCUCUCUAUAGUUUUUCCACUUAUGGUUGUAUGAUUUUUGUUUGUUUGUUUUUUGAGACGGCAUCUCGCUCUGUCACCAGGCUGGAGUGCAGUGGCGUGAUCUCGGCUCUACCUCCCAGGUUCAAGCCAUCCUCCUGCCUCAUCCUCCCGAGUAGCUGGGACUACAGGCACACGCCACCAUGCCCAGCUAAUUUUUGUAUUUUUAGUAGAGACGGGGUUUCACCUUAUGGUUGUAUCUUUAAACAAUGUCUUGUUUAGUUUUGCCAUGUUUUUGGACUGUGAAUAAGUAGAAUUAUUAUGCUGUGUGAAUUCUUCUGCUACUUGCAUUUUUGCUGCAACGUCAUGUUCCUGAAAUUCAGCCAGGAUUCAUUUAUUCCUUUUCACUGCUGUGUGAUAUCCCAUUGUAGGCAAAUAGUACACAAUAUUUAUUUAUUUUCCAGAUGGGAUCUCAUUCUGUCACCCAGGCUUGUAGUGCAGUGACCCCAUCACGAUUCACUGCAGCCUUGAACUCCUGGGCUCAAGCAAUCCUCCUGCCUCAGCCUCCUGAGUUGCUAAGGCCACAAAUAUUUAUCCAUUUUACUGCUAAUGCAAUUUGAGCUGUUUUCAACUUUUUCCUAUUAAAACAUUAUUGCUAUGAACAUUCUUAUAAAA
RNAcentral lists this long non-coding RNA (2982 nucleotides) under Homo sapiens (human). RNAcentral describes it as "HSALNT0346360". Lineage: Eukaryota; Metazoa; Chordata; Mammalia; Primates; Hominidae. The record is from RNAcentral.